RNAcentral lists this transfer RNA (55 nucleotides) under Bisetocreagris titanium. RNAcentral's name for it is "tRNA-Trp". Lineage: Eukaryota; Metazoa; Arthropoda; Arachnida; Pseudoscorpiones; Neobisiidae. The record is from RNAcentral.
AAAGUUUUAAGUUAAUUAAACUAUUAACCUUCAAAGUUAAAAUUAUUAAACUUUU